GACGAACGCUGGCGGCGUGCUUAACACAUGCAAGUCGAACGGAAAGGCCCUGCUUUUGUGGGGUGCUCGAGUGGCGAACGGGUGAGUAACACGUGAGUAACCUGCCCUUGACUUUGGGAUAACUUCAGGAAACUGGGGCUAAUACCGGAUAGGAGCUCCUGCUGCAUGGUGGGGGUUGGAAAGUUUCGGCGGUUGGGGAUGGACUCGCGGCUUAUCAGCUUGUUGGUGGGGUAGUGGCUUACCAAGGCUUUGACGGGUAGCCGGCCUGAGAGGGUGACCGGCCACAUUGGGCCUGAGAUACGGCCCAGACUCCUACGGGAGGCAGCAGUGGGGAAUAUUGCACAAUGGGCGGAAGCCUGAUGCAGCAACGCCGCGUCCGGGAUGACGGCCUUCGGGUUGUAAACCGCUUUCGCCUGUGACGAAGCGUGAGUGACGGUAAUGGGUAAAGAAGCACCGGCUAACUACGUG
This 468-nucleotide ribosomal RNA is filed under the name uncultured bacterium. RNAcentral's name for it is "partial 16S ribosomal RNA". It matches the Rfam family "Bacterial small subunit ribosomal RNA", at positions 28 to 507 of the family's 1533-position model. The record is from RNAcentral.